Long non-coding RNA from Crotalus tigris (Tiger rattlesnake), 536 nucleotides. RefSeq lists it as uncharacterized. The transcript is spliced from 2 exons. NCBI's taxonomy places the organism in Eukaryota, Metazoa, Chordata, Lepidosauria, Squamata, Viperidae. The record is from RefSeq and is a predicted model, not a curated record.
AGGGCGAGCAAGAAAAGCAAGAUCAGGGAGAUGAAGAAAGCUUUCGGGGUUUGUACACAGACAUAGCUGACUCCUCCUUGUCUCCUGCCCUUGCUGCAUCUCCUGUGGAGACACGUUUGCAUUUCUCUGUGUCUCUCUCUCUCCCACUCAAAGGAAUCUUGCAGCUCGAUCCUUGAAGCGAUUUCAAACGGCCCCUUCAUUGCCAGGCGUCCCCAUGAAAGUCAAUGGAGGUCUGCUUUGACUCGAAAGGUCAGCUGCGGCGCUUCAAAGUCCGUUGGUUUUACUGGAUGAAAAGGAAGAGGAGGGAUGAAUGUCGAAAUCCCUGUAUGAAGCUUUCAUUACCUUUGGUGCUUUGAUUUCUCUGUUGUUAUUUUUUUUUCUACCUAAAAAGUACACUCAUUAAAGGUAAUAAUAUUACUUUUCUGCCAUUUACUCUUAAUGGAAACUAGCAAACUUAGCUUUAAAUGUCUCUACUAUGGAAACACAUUGUAAUUCUCAAUCUGAAAAGGACCAAAAAUAAAAAUAAGCUAUAAUUA